Molecule: long non-coding RNA, 5041 nt
Organism: Mizuhopecten yessoensis (Yesso scallop)
Lineage: Eukaryota; Metazoa; Mollusca; Bivalvia; Pectinida; Pectinidae
Exons: 3
Source: RefSeq, a predicted model, not a curated record
GUCUACUUCUAGGACAAAGAUCUAGAAAGGACUGUUGGCAUCAAUACUGGUCACGUCGGUACAUCCGAUUUUAAACUGGAGAAAGGAGAUCGGGACUUCGUGGUCGAACAAGGCCGACGGAGCAUCACGUCCUUCCUGAAGUACUAUGCCGCCCAUAACCAGCACCUUGCUAAACGAUCCGAAUCGUCUUCAUCUCGAGUCGUCCUCACCUCCAAAAUAUCAGAGGAGUCUGAGAAUGGGCAGGAUGAUAAGGACGUGUGUAAGGGAAGUGCUAAUGCUGACAGUAUACGUUUAAAUGACGUCAACGGUACAGAUGAAAUCCAAGAUGAAGACGACGCUGAUAAUGAGAAGACGCCAAUUUUGGAUGCAAGCUAGUUAAGAGAAUUAACUUGGUUCGGCGGACAUACAUCAACUCCAAAUGAUGGCAUUAACAAGACUCCAUCUCCGUUAGGUCAUGAAUACUUCCUCGUGCGAAAAGGGGACCGGUUCUUCAUUGUUUAAGUGAAGAGGCUCGUGGAGACAUUGAGACUGAGUUGUGGAACGUUUGUGAUUUUUGUCUUUAUUGACAACACACACCUACUGUACACAAAGUAUGUGGUGUUAUGAACAAACCUUUCAAAGAAUAAAUGUCAGAGGUUGAAGAGUUUUCUCACGAUUUUUUUUUAUCGUUAUCUAAUAAUAAGAUUUAUCUGAACGUGUUGUGUUUCCACAUUAUGUAGUUAUGAUAAGUUAACUCCAAAUCAACAUUCAUAUAAAACUAGUAUUGAAGCUUUCUUAGGAAUGAAGAAUUUUUCGACAGCGAUCAUUGUCAUUGUGUUGUAAAGUUUAUAUCCCGAAGUUGUAUUAUUAUGAUCAUUUAAUUGUAAAUAGCCCAUUAUUAAGAAUACUUUCAUCGCCGCACUCAAAACACUUAAGAAACCUAUGGUGUUUUUCAUGCAUACAGUAACUUUAAUUUCCUUUUGGACCAUAUAAUUCACUGAUCGUGUUUUUCAGUUGGUUAAAGCGUCCGUACCGUGAUCGGAUGCCUAGAGUCUGAAUUCCAGCCUGCUCAUGUUCCAUUUUUACUGUAUACAGCUGUUGACAGUCGAACGGGUACCCUUAAUACACAUUUAUACACCCAUGGUAAUAAGUCUUCCUUGGAGGAAUCGUAGAAAAAAAGCUUGAUUGUCGCUAAAGCGUUGUAGAAAUUGAAUUACGUGAGAGAUAAGGGAUGUGCCGUUCAGCCACCACGCUGUUAGGUUCGGAGGAUGAGUUGGAUUGUGUAGGUAUAAUACUCACCGGUACCUCCUGGUGUCCUGAUAUAAUGUCACAACGCUGUUAGGUUCGGAGGCUGAGUUGGAUCGUGUAGGUAUAUUACUCACCGGUUCCUCCUGGUGUCCUGAUAUAAUGCCUUCGGUAAUAAAGAAACGGAUGCUGAUUAACCUAUAUUUUUAUUAUCAUUUUGUAAAUAAUUGUUUUAAUUAUCUAAAUGAUAUGACGACAGUCUUUGUUUUGACUAUCAUCCUUAAUCGAACUAUUUUUUUAUCUAAAUGUUGAGCCUUUGAGCGCUUAUGGUCAUUCUGUGCGAGAUCUUCACUUUUAAAGCAUACCUAGUAAUUAAUUCUAAGCCAUAUCAUUCUACAUCAUUAAUGACCCAAAUCCCUAUCAUAUUUUUUUAAGCUAUACUGCUUAUCUUAACCUACAACAUCGGGAUGUUAUUCUGUAUCAAACAACCACAGUAUGAUGGUAACGAACUAUGUCAAAGAAUGAUACCGAAAAGCUACGCAAAGCAUAGAAAUAGAAGUAUUUUUGUAUAAAAUAGGAAGUUGUCAUUUUAAUCCUUAAAUAUGCAGAAUUUGUUGUCAGUUUUAAUGAUUAUCAAAACUUAGCAUAUUUACCCUAAUGUAUAACUAGACAUAAUUUCCUCCAGAUACAUCACAGUCCUCUACAUUAAUGUUCACCCAUAAACACAUAAAUACCAAAGGACAGAAAUGCCGUCCUCGAUACCACGGGGUUACGGUCACUUUCGCUCUCUACACCCCUGGAAUAUGUCAUAGAAAAAGUGAAGGCACGCGGCCAGCUUUUUGAUUGGUGUCGGGUAACAAAAAACCCUGACCAAUCACUAGGCUGAUACCUGUCUUUUGAUGAUGACAAAGGAGCGAUGCCCGACCGUUAAGCGACUGCGAUCUUCUUCUAAAGUACAUCAAAGAACCAAACUAGUCUUCACGAGAAGUUGCUCAUUGAGCCUCCGACUUUGCUCUGCCAUACAUUCCAGGGGUGUAGAGAGCGAAAGUGAGCGUUACCCUUGGAUAUCGAGGAUGCAAAAAUGCAUGCAUGCGAUCAUAUGUUUGAUGUAUGCAAUUACUUGCAUAACGCUUAAAACAUAUGUAUAAUUUCUCAGACCUGUACAUUGAGAAAUAUGCUAUUUUGUAGGUUGUAAAGGUUUAAUUAUACAUAUUAUACCUUUUUAUCUUUCGUCCUUUAUCAAUUACAUUAAGCUGAAUAAGAUCUUCGAUCGAUUUCUUUUUGUGGCAGGAUUGGUUUGUGUAAAAUAUUGUUGUUGUUUGAGUACUUUUGCGUAUCAAAUUUUAAAUUCCUGUUUAUUAUUAUAUAUCGUUAUGAAAUAUUUACAAAUCUCUAUACUACUAUACAUUGAAACUGUUUUAUAUAUCAUGCAUGUCUAGUUUGAGUUGGUGAGGGAAAAUGUGUGCAAAUAUUUUUUUUAUUAAUAUGAAGGGAUUUUUAUAUAUAUAUUUGGCAUUUAGCUUUCAUAUGGCCUAAGUGUCAUAAUUAAUACAUGUUAUCUUGUCAUGUAACAUGAUUCGGUCGACAUACAGAUAAACGUGUUCUUUAUCAUCUUCCUGUGAUUAAGACAUCCAGCUGGUAGGGUACGAUUGACGCGAAUAAUGCUGAUGUCGUAUAAACUGAUGUGAAAACUUGGAAGAACACACUCUAUUUAAAACGUUCGCCAUAGCUGAACUUUUGCCCUUUCGCCAACAAUGAUGAGGGAGGUUUCACAAAGACAGUAAAUGUUGUUAAUAGCUUACUCUACAUAGUUAAUCGAUUGAGAAAUGUGAAAUGUUCACUGAAAGUGUAUCGUUUUAAAUGUCCAUGGUGUCAUUGUUUACUAACUGUUCGGUAAUGACACAAAAUAAAUAUAACAAAUCAAUCGCUGAUUAAAUUCGAUCUUGUGCAGAAUUAAUAACAUAUCCUUAUUAUUUAUACUAUAUGUAUGAAUAAAUGUUAGGAGAUACCAAUUCGCGGUUUAAAUCCGCAUUAAAUUCACUUAUAUUAAAUAAAAAACAAACUGAAAAAUAGGUGAAUAAAGACCCGUCAAUCAAUAACACCUUUCAUGGUUUUACUCAGUCACCCCUAUAUUUCUAAACUGGACUUGUCCAGUCUUUGAUUUGGUAAGGGUUCAAAUGUGGCAUUAGGGUUGAAUGGGUCAAGUGGCUUGCUUCACACUAUCUAUGUAUUAUUUACAGAGAUUGAGUCUCAUGUUAAGACAAAUCAAGAUGUAGUUUGGAGUUGUUGUAACUAUGAAAUAUACCUGAAGCAUAAAACUUCAGAAAGUUCAUGAAAUACGAUCGUGACUCCAAACUUACGGACAUCACAGCAUAGGGACAGUUUUGCUGUUGGAGCUGUUUAUAGUGACGUAUCCUGUGGCGCGACUGUAUUUGUACGGCUUAUGCAAACUGAUAAGUGUAGGACCAGCUGGUUGAUACUGUCUAGUCUGAAGUGCAUUGCCUUUGUAUCAGGGAUUAGGCUCCUGUGUUUACACUGUGAAACUUGCCAUACAAAUGUACAUAGUGGGAUAAGUUCGGGCAGAAAACCGUUAACACACUAUAUCAUAUUUCUGUAUCUCACCUGUACUUUACCUCAUUCUUAAAUAAAUCCUAUAAAUUAAGGAUCCCUGUCCCACCGAACUGCGAUUUUUGUUUAUGCAGUUGCAUCCUUUCAAACACGUAUUCUGGCCAGAACACUUCAGUUGACCAAAUAACUCAUCGGUAAGAGCGAAAUUAUAGAAAUCUGAAAUCCGGGUUUUUCACACUCAGAACUCUAUUUGUUGAUAAUAUUUUGUUUAUUUCAUCUUUGUCAUUUUUCAUAAAAGUCCCGCAGUGAAUGUUUGGUUUCUAUUCAGAAAUGUUUUGUGACAGCUAUUGUCCUUUCCUGGUAUAACGGAUUCCUAAUUGUUCUUUACAGUUUUGGCAGUGGUACGGGGAUCCUGAAGACAGAUAUUAUCAUAAGUUAUAACUUUGUUUAGAAUAAUCCUUUCAUGAGGGUCUAGGGGGUCUGAAUUCAAAUCAAGGUACAACGUGGAAAACGAAGAAAGGUUCAUGAUAAUAGAAGAAAUACAUUAUCAAGAUUUUCUUCAAUAACAUUCCUUGAAAAUUCCAUUUUUGUUUAUUCCUUAGGAGAACUAGAACUAGAAGUUUAAGUCAGAAAACAUGUUUGAGUAUCGACUUUCAUAACAAACAGUCGUAUAUCUUAUUCAAAACGUUUGAAAUAUGAAAUACGUUAUCUCGUCAGUAGACUGUAGUCCCAUGCUGACACGACGUUCUCUCCGGACGGAGUGAAAUUAACAUUCCAGACAUAUUUUCCUUAUAAGAUGAUUUUUCAUUUGUGUCCCGCUCUUUUGAUAUCAGCAACUUUGAUAAACAUUCCAAUCAGAUUUAAUUCGUUCCCCUGAGGUUUUUCUGUGACCAGUAAUUAAUUAACGUCGGUAAAGUCAUGUUUGUACCUGAUAGAUUUAGAGCGUUUUGACACUUUUAUAUUUACAUAUGUGUGUUAUAAAAAAAAAAUACAGUGUCGUCAUUUUUGUACAGUGAUAGUAAUAGCUGUGAGUUAAUGUCCCUUGCUUCCGUUUUUUACUGUCGUGAGAGAUCAAUAUGCAAACUAAGCAUCUUUCUCAGCGAAUGUGCAUAAUCCUAUUUUAAAUACGCAUUUGAUAGUACGUGUGUUUUAUUUUAUUCUGAGUUGUUAAAGUGCUCAGUGUUUUUUUAUUCACCCAGAUGCAUGUGUGUUUUGGAUUUCAAUAAAAAUCGGUAAAGCCUAAAAUCGA